This 301-nucleotide ribosomal RNA is filed under the name uncultured bacterium. RNAcentral describes it as "partial 16S ribosomal RNA". It matches the Rfam family "Bacterial small subunit ribosomal RNA", at positions 509 to 807 of the family's 1533-position model. The record is from RNAcentral.
CAGUAGCCACGGUAAUACAGAGGGUGCGAGCGUUAAUCGGAUUUACUGGGCGUAAAGCGUGCGUAGGCGGCUUCUUAAGUCGGAUGUGAAAUCCCUGAGCUUAACUUAGGAAUUGCAUUCGAUACUGGGAAGCUAGAGUAUGGGAGAGGAUGGUAGAAUUCCAGGUGUAGCGGUGAAAUGCGUAGAGAUCUGGAGGAAUACCGAUGGCGAAGGCAGCCAUCUGGCCUAAUACUGACGCUGAGGUACGAAAGCGUGGGGAGCAAACAGGAUUAGAUACCCGAGUAGUCCCUGUCUCUUAUAC